Long non-coding RNA from Cyanistes caeruleus (blue tit), 1868 nucleotides. RefSeq lists it as uncharacterized. The record is from RefSeq and is a predicted model, not a curated record. NCBI's taxonomy places the organism in Eukaryota, Metazoa, Chordata, Aves, Passeriformes, Paridae.
CAGAGGCUCCACCAUCAGCUCUCUGUCAUCUGUGGCCUUCUCUUGAAAAAUAAUAAUAAUCCAUAAGCAAAGGAGCAGAAACAUUAUGGUUUGCCUGUGAAUAAUGACUUGGGACAGGGGGAAAAGAGACACCCACGCCUGGGUAAUGACACGGCUGCGAUCUGUCCCCGUCGCUUCGCAUCUCCCCAAGAAGUUCAUACAUAUUUAAAAAGGCCAAGAGCUCCAUUCUUCCUCACUUCUUAUAAUAUCAGAAGAUUAGAGUCCAUCAGGGAGAUAAAGGCAAAGAAAGCAUCACAGGGAGGGGGAAAUGUCACUCUGUGAUUUAAUCCUGUCUCUCUAAAGGGGUUUUUUGCCAGGUGGGAUGGGCCGUCCGGCCUGGGCCGUGUGAGGGGUUUGGAGCAGGCCCAGGGCUCAGGCUCCGGGAGGCCAGCAGGGAUCUGCUUUCAAUGUCCUCAUUGUCCUCCCUGCACAAAUCAGCCUGGAAAACUAUUAAUUAUGAACCAGAGCUCCCUGCAACAGGAGGAAAAGCCACCCCAACUCGUUCUGCUGGUUUGGGUCUGCCCUGGCAGUAGAGAUGGAAUAUUUUUUUUCCUCUCACAAGGAAAUGGAUGAAGAAAGUCAGCCCCAGCCACACCAUGAAUACAGAGUUCUUCCAAAGGCUGAAAGAGGAUUGGGGAGAUCCUCCAUGUAUCCUUCCAGGUGGAUAUGAGGUGACAAAGACAGCACUGCCAAGGAGUUCACCAUACCCAAAUUCAUACCAAAAAACAGGAAUAAAGGCAAAGCAUAACCUGCCAUCCAGAGAGGCAAGCUCAGCCCCAGUGUUUCUAUCCCACAGGGAGGCCCAGACAUUGAAUUUCUCCAUGUCAGCUCUUUUUGAACCAGGGAAAAGCCAGCUGGAGCGGGAGGGGACAAAAAACACUGGUUCUCCAUUAAUUUUAAAGCUGUUCAAAAGCUCACUGCUCCACACUCAUGCAUCCACAUGCAGCAUGUGCAGCUCUUUUCUCUCUGCCAUGCUCCAGCAGCUCCUGUGUCUUUAGGGGCCAGGGUCCCACCACUGCUAACAGGGAUUUAAUUUGCUCUGGCUAAUAUUUUAUCCAUGGUAUUAGGUCAUGUUUCUCUUUCCACUUGAAAGACAUCUCCAGCUUAUUGGCAGCAGUGAAAUUAAUAGAGAAAUCAUUAGAAAGCAUAAGGCUGAGGCCGUGCAAAUCGCACGGCACACGAGAUUAUUUCCAAACAAUAAAAUUAAUUGGUGUCAUCAGCCGCAAGCAGCGACGCCGGGAGAGCUGGCAUUAAAAAACAUGGAAGAUUAUUGACAGCCCCAUGCCUCCUCAUACAUAAAACAUUUGAUGGUGUGGUUUUAUUUGAUUAUUUCCUAUGCAUGAAGGCUCUCCCCUGCACAGGGGGUUGGAGCAGACGCAGCUGGGAUGGCGAUCCCACAGCCAGGAAUCAUCUGGAGCCUCAGGAAUUGGUCCUGAGGCUUGAGACAGAAUUAACCAGGCUGAUUUUCAGUGAAAGUGGCUCCUUUUGGACACCUGGGAUGCAGGGAUUUGCCUGUUGCAGGCACUUCUAGGGAAUAAAUCCUACUCAGUACUGGCACAACUCAUGGUCAGCUGAACCCUGAGCCAAGUACCUCCCAAUCCUCCAAAUUUCAGGUUCCAAUCUUCCUGUGCUCUCCCAUCUCAUCUUGGUGACCCACAGAAACCACACAAACAGGAACAGAGAAUUUUGAGCCUAGAAGUGGAGGUUUUUGGCCCUGGCUACACUAUCUUCCCCUCAAUAUUCAAAAACUGCUGAAAUGUUUGUAAACCUCACCCACCUGGGAGAGGCAGAUGAGGUGUGAUCAUCCCAGCAAAGCAGAGUGAAUACAC